This 1478-nucleotide long non-coding RNA is filed under the name Mus musculus (house mouse). Its description in RNAcentral is "predicted gene 14461". The record is from RNAcentral. Lineage: Eukaryota; Metazoa; Chordata; Mammalia; Rodentia; Muridae.
AUGUCACUCAAACCAGCUGUAUUAAGGAAGGUGCAAGCUUUUGGGAUUUCUGUUUGGAUUUAGUUUAGGUUCAAAAGAGCACGCACAGAUCCUGAGUGUUGUCAAGCACCCGUGACUGGGAAACGGAGGCGUCCGAUCCGUAUUGGAGUCAAUUCGCCACUUAAUUGAACACAGCCUCGAAGGGAAGGGCCAUAUUUGUGGGCCUGUCUAACAAUUAAGAGUGACCACAUGGAAUGGGGGAUGAAAGGGUUAAAGAAGAACAAAUAUUGAACACAGCUUUUCUAUGAACAAACUGCAGGCAGCUGCUGCUUUGCAAGGGGAACUUCUUGGCUGCCAUUUCUGGAUGUCAAGGCUGCAGAUACACUGGUCAGGACCCUGGGUAGAGAGAGAUGCGUCAGAAUGCGGCUCCUUUCAGAAAGGCUUCUCCGGAGGGAAGCAGUUGAUUGAGAAUAAUGGUUCUGUUUUGGAGGUUGAUGGAAGAUGCCCUUUGGCCAGGAAAACAGCUCAUGCUUUUAGAGGAGGAUAAUUGCCAGAAGGCCUCUCUGAAUAAAAAAAAAUCCUGACCUCACAGCCUUUGCGCUUACUUGGGUUAGAAUGCCACAGUGAACAUUGCCCCUUGUCAUCACGUAGAGGUGCUCACAGGUAAAGCAACACAAGGAGCAUAUAGGAUCACCUGCUGGAUCUUGUUUUUAACACCAGGGAGGAAAAUGGUGUCUUGGGUAAUGAACAUGCCUCAAGACUGAGCUGGCCAUCUUCAGUGUCAUCCAAACCCUCAGUGGCCCCUGAAAAACCCUUUGAAAAGAUUCAGCACGUUGCCAUGGAGAACAUCCCACUGAAGGAAUGUAUAGAAGUAGCAGGGAUCUGCAAUGAGAUGGGAGAAGGCAACAGGCUGUGUGGGAACCACUGAAGCUGGGAUGGCAGGGAAAGAACAUCUUAGGCUAACUCUUCAAGCCUUGCUGUCACAUUUGCUUUUGAGUCUAUGGUGUCAGCUGCCUACCAGUUGCUUUCAUCUCUAGAAAUCUGUGACUUGCAGUAUGACAAGAACAAAAGGUGACAAUACAAAGGACAAAGGGCAAGGAAUACAGACGGAGAAGCCGCUUAGAGUCUAGGAUGGCAGAGGUUCUCUUGAUCAUUUCAUUUUUGAGCGCUUGUAGAGCUUUGGUGUACCAGAGGUGCUUGAACAGCUUACCACACCACAGAUGAAUGGCCUUUGGAUUUCUCCUAAGAAAAUGUGGCUACCUGAAAUUCAACUCCAUUUUCUGGUCUUCAAUAUUUCUUUUGUGUUCAGUUUGCCAGCUGAGGAGAAGUGGCUAAGCAUAGCCUGUUACUGAUGCUAAAGCCCAAGUUCUGAACCUAACAACUCCAGCAACAUGAUCCUGUUUCAAGAGACAAAAAAGUGACUAAUGAAAGAAAACAAUUGAUGUGCUAUGUAGAGUUUAAAAGAAGGUAAAGAGAAUAAAUUAAAAGCAACAACUCUC